Molecule: long non-coding RNA, 164 nt
Organism: Drosophila serrata
Lineage: Eukaryota; Metazoa; Arthropoda; Insecta; Diptera; Drosophilidae
Source: RefSeq, a predicted model, not a curated record
AAAGAUUUUCCUUGACUGACCUUUUAAAAUGUGGACAUUUACCGACUUUGGAUUUGCGUUUGAUGAUGGUACGUGGAAAUUGAGCUGAUUCAACAAGUCCGCACUUUCAACAUCACCAUGGAUAAGAUUAUAAAUAUACGAGCGAAACGUAAGAAGUUCUUUUG